UCCCUGGUGGUCCAGUGAUUGAGACUCUGUCCUUCCAAGGCAAGAGCACAGGUUCAAUCCCUGGUUGGGGAA
RNAcentral lists this transfer RNA (72 nucleotides) under Ovis aries (sheep). It matches the Rfam family "tRNA". Rfam says of the family: Transfer RNA (tRNA) molecules are approximately 80 nucleotides in length. Their secondary structure includes four short double-helical elements and three loops (D, anti-codon, and T loops). The record is from Rfam by way of RNAcentral. Lineage: Eukaryota; Metazoa; Chordata; Mammalia; Artiodactyla; Bovidae.